UCAGAGAGGCUGGAAAUCUAACGGGUCUAACGGCAAUGGAACUGGGAGGAAGACAUCCUUCAGGGACGUUGCCAGGCCAGCCGGUCUUCGGUAGCCCCGAGUCGUGGCUGAAGGACAAAUGACUGACCAUGCUAUCCUCAGACCUCUACCAGAAGAAUCUACUGGGCAUCGUUGUCGAUGAGGUUCACGUCACCUACAAAUGGAAUGAAAGGCCUUCCUGCUCAGUUGGGAGAACGUCACAGCAAAGAAGACAUGCCUGUCAUGGCUUAAAUGGCAUCUGCAGUCACAGAAGAUGGGACACAGAGAGCUGCCACAUAUGGAGAGAGUGUCAUUCAACAGUGAGCCCACCCAACAGGACAGUUUGCACUAGGUUGGAUCACAGCUUAUUGAAGAAACAUGAGAAGAGCAUUAGUCCCUAUAUCUUUGAUCUAACAUAUAAUAGUACAUAACCAACAACCUUCCUGUUUUCAAAGUGUUGCAUGUGCAGGGAAUCCCAGGUUAUGUUGAUUAAAAGGAUGAGUAUUUUGACAGUGAAACACCACAGCGUAGUAGCUGGCAGUGCUUUGCAGCA
Engraulis encrasicolus (European anchovy) is the source of this 571-nucleotide long non-coding RNA. RefSeq lists it as uncharacterized. The record is from RefSeq and is a predicted model, not a curated record. The transcript is spliced from 3 exons. Lineage: Eukaryota; Metazoa; Chordata; Actinopteri; Clupeiformes; Engraulidae.